Molecule: ribosomal RNA, 156 nt
Filed under: Escherichia coli
Lineage: Bacteria; Pseudomonadati; Pseudomonadota; Gammaproteobacteria; Enterobacterales; Enterobacteriaceae
Also listed under: 3 other names
Description: partial 16S ribosomal RNA
Rfam family: Bacterial small subunit ribosomal RNA
Source: RNAcentral
CACCGCCCGUCACACCAUGGGAGUGGGUUGCAAAAGAAGUAGGUAGCUUAACCUUCGGGAGGGCGCUUACCACUUUGUGAUUCAUGACUGGGGUGAAGUCGUAACAAGGUAACCGUAGGGGAACCUGCGGUUGGAUCACCUCCUUACCUUAAAGAA